GAUGAACGCUGGCGGCGUGCCUAAUACAUGCAAGUCGAGCGAACAGAUAAGGAGCUUGCUCCUUUGACGUUAGCGGCGGACGGGUGAGUAACACGUGGGUAACCUACCUAUAAGACUGGAAUAACUCCGGGAAACCGGGGCUAAUGCAGGAUAACAUGUUGAACCGCAUGGUUCUACAGUGAAAGGCGGCUUUGCUGUCACUUAUAGAUGGACCCGCGCCGUAUUAGCUAGUUGGUGAGGUAACGGCUCACCAAGGCAACGAUACGUAGCCGACCUGAGAGGGUGAUCGGCCACACUGGAACUGAGAAACGGUCCAGACUCCUACGGGAGGCAGCAGUAGGGAAUCUUCCGCAAUGGGCGAAAGCCUGACGGAGCAACGCCGCGUGAGUGAUGAAGGUCUUCGGAUCGUAAAACUCUGUUAUUAGGGAAGAACAAAUGCGUAAGUAACUGUGCGCGUCUUGACGGUACCUAAUCAGAAAGCCACGGCUAACUACGUG
Molecule: ribosomal RNA, 497 nt
Filed under: uncultured bacterium
Lineage: Bacteria
Description: partial 16S ribosomal RNA
Rfam family: Bacterial small subunit ribosomal RNA
Source: RNAcentral